CACAGGCAGCUCCAAACACUCAUUUUGUUUUCUUCCUUUUUUGGGGACUGAAGGGUGGAGCCAGACCGGGCAGAGGUCAGAGCAGCCCUCGAGCUACUUCAAUCCAUACAAUCAGGCACAGGCCCUGAAGGAGGUUUGCCACCUCCUUCAGCUCUUCCCUUUGCAGCCCUCCUUUGGGCCCUGAGGAGUUAAGGUUCUGCUCUGCGGCCAGGGAGCUGUAAUGUGCAGGACAGCUGCUUUUCUUCUAUUCUAGAGACAUUUGAGAUUUGAGACCAAGUAAAUUGUCCAUUUAGAUGCUUGAGUUGCUGGACCUGGUUAGCUUUUGCUGUAAAGCAGCCCUUUUUGGCAUCUGAUGUGAAAAUCACACGGCAGAAUAAAUUUAAAAGGUGAUCCUGUGCCAAGACUGUGGCAAAGUCGAAGAGCCUUUUUGAUCAAUCUGCCUUUUGCCUUCUUAUGCAGCGACCCAGCAAUGCAGAACGAAUCACUGACUGAUUCUUGGAGGAGCAAUCCAAUGGCCAUAAUUGCUGGGAGCAGGGGGGGUGGGAAUGUUUGGGGUUUAUUUACACUCUAAACCACUUCAGGAUGGGGAGGAAGAAAGUGUAUUCUUGACUAUCUUGUGACCUCUGGGAUGGGAAUUCCAUUCUGGAACGUCCCAAAUCCAUGUGUGCUUGGGGCUUCUGGGCUGGCAGGACCAGUUGCUCCAGUGUGGCAGCUCCUGCCAGCUUCUCCAGGACAUCAGGUUUUCAGAGAGCCAUAGCACACAGCACAGAGAAUUUGGCCUGAAACAUUUUGCUUCAUUGAUUUUUAAAUACCACUCCUUGACACCCAGAAAUAAAUACAGAUGUAUGGAAAAACAGCAAGUCUCAGUCUGGUCCCUGGAUCACCCUGGUGCCAUGUAAGGGGCAGGCACAAGAUGUCUUGCCUUGAUUCUGGGAAAUCAUAAUAAUAAUAAAAUAGAUCUAUAAAUUAUUCAGAGCUCAUGAGCUAUUGCCUAAUGUUGCUUGGGGCCAAGCACAGGGGUGUGGGUGAGGGAGCCAGAAAUCUGUCGUGGUGAGAGGAUGCCACCCCGGGCUCGUGGCACCUGACUGGUCUGAGGCACAUUUCACUGGCUUAGGACAGGAUCUGGCAAGGAGCACCGGCAUUUGAAGGCAUAACUCUGCUCUCUGGUGUUUCCUUCUCUUUAAGGCGGUAACCCUCUGCGGGAGCGGCGCACCGGAGGAGGCUGGCGCUGGUGCCAGGCGUCGGUGCUCCGGAGGUGCCAGAGCACCUUGGUGGUGGCAGAACACAACAAUGAAUCCCUCACCCCCAUCACCCUCAACACCAUCACUGCAGCAAAGCGCCUGGGAGGAGAGGUCUCCUGUCUGGUGGUUGGUA
Molecule: long non-coding RNA, 1374 nt
Organism: Passer montanus (Eurasian tree sparrow)
Lineage: Eukaryota; Metazoa; Chordata; Aves; Passeriformes; Passeridae
Exons: 3
Source: RefSeq, a predicted model, not a curated record